GAUGAACGCUGGCGGCGUGCCUAAUACAUGCAAGUCGAGCGAACAGACGAGGAGCUUGCUCCUCUGACGUUAGCGGCGGACGGGUGAGUAACACGUGGAUAACCUACCUAUAAGACUGGGAUAACUUCGGGAAACCGGAGCUAAUACCGGAUAAUAUAUUGAACCGCAUGGUUCAAUAGUGAAAGACGGUUUUGCUGUCACUUAUAGAUGGAUCCGCGCCGCAUUAGCUAGUUGGUAAGGUAACGGCUUACCAAGGCGACGAUGCGUAGACGACCUGAGAGGGUGAUCGGCCACACUGGAGCUGAGACACGGUCCAGACUCCUACGGGAGGCAGCAGUAGGGAAUCUUCCGCAAUGGGCGAAAGCCUUACGGAGCAACGCCGCGUGAGUGAUGAAGGUCUUCGGAUCGUAAAACUCUGUUAUUAGUGAAGAACAAAUGUGUAAGUAACUAUGCACGUCUUGACGGUACCUAAUCAGAAAGCCACGGCUAACUACGUG
Molecule: ribosomal RNA, 497 nt
Filed under: uncultured bacterium
Lineage: Bacteria
Description: partial 16S ribosomal RNA
Rfam family: Bacterial small subunit ribosomal RNA
Source: RNAcentral